This 440-nucleotide ribosomal RNA is filed under the name uncultured bacterium. Its description in RNAcentral is "partial 16S ribosomal RNA". It matches the Rfam family "Bacterial small subunit ribosomal RNA", at positions 338 to 795 of the family's 1533-position model. The record is from RNAcentral.
CCUACGGGAGGCAGCAGUGGGGAAUAUUGCACAAUGGGGGAAACCCUGAUGCAGCGACGCCGCGUGAGCGAAGAAGUAUUUCGGUAUGUAAAGCUCUAUCAGCAGGGAAGAAAAUGACGGUACCUGAGUAAGAAGCCCCGGCUAAAUACGUGCCAGCAGCCGCGGUAAUACGUAGGGAGCAAGCGUUAUCCGGAUUUACUGGGUGUAAAGGGAGCGUAGACGGCCUUGCAAGUCUGAUGUGAAAGGCCGGGGCUCAACCCCGGGGCUGCAUUGGAAACUGUGAGGCUAGAGUGUCGGAGAGGCAGGCGGAAUUCCUAGUGUAGCGGUGAAAUGCGUAGAUAUUAGGAGGAACACCAGUGGCGAAGGCGGCCUGCUGGACGAUGACUGACGUUGAGGCUCGAAAGCGUGGGGAGCAAACAGGAUUAGAUACCCGGGUAGUC